RNAcentral lists this ribosomal RNA (465 nucleotides) under uncultured bacterium. RNAcentral describes it as "bacterial SSU rRNA". It matches the Rfam family "Bacterial small subunit ribosomal RNA", at positions 330 to 794 of the family's 1533-position model. The record is from RNAcentral.
UCCAGACUCCUACGGGAGGCAGCAGUGGGGAAUAUUGCACAAUGGGGGAAACCCUGAUGCAGCGACGCCGCGUGAGUGAAGAAGUAUUUCGGUAUGUAAAGCUCUAUCAGCAGGGAAGAAAUAGCGACCUUUGGGUCGCCAGACGGUACCUGAUUAAGAAGCCCCGGCUAACUACGUGCCAGCAGCCGCGGUAAUACGUAGGGGGCAAGCGUUAUCCGGAUUUACUGGGUGUAAAGGGAGCGUAGACGGCGACGCAAGUCUGAAGUGAAAUGCCAGUGCUCAACACUGGAACUGCUUUGGAAACUGUGCAGCUAGAGUGCAGGAGAGGUAAGUGGAAUUCCUAGUGUAGCGGUGAAAUGCGUAGAUAUUAGGAGGAACACCAGUGGCGAAGGCGGCUUACUGGACUGUAACUGACGUUGAGGCUCGAAAGCGUGGGGAGCAAACAGGAUUAGAUACCCGUGUAGU